CAGGGCUCUUUUGGGUCUUGUAAUUGGAAUGAGUACAUUUAAAUCCCUUAACGAGGACAAUUGGAGGGCAAGUCUGGUGCCAGCAGCCGCGGUAAUUCCAGCUCCAAUAGCGUAUAUUAAAGUUGUUGUGGUUAAAAAGCUCGUAGUUGAACCUUGGGCCUGGCUGGCCGGUCCGCCUCACCGCGUGUACUGGUCCGGCCGGGCCUUUCCCUCUGUGGAACCCCAUGCCCUUCACUGGGUGUGGCGGGGAAACAGGACUUUUACUGUGAAAAAAUUAGAGUGCUCCAGGCAGGCCUAUGCUCGAAUACAUUAGCAUGGAAUAAUAGAAUAGGACGUGUGGUUCUAUUUUGUUGGUUUCUAGGACCGCCGUAAUGAUUAAUAGGGACAGUCGGGGGCAUCAGUAUUCAAUUGUCAGAGGUGAAAUUCUUGGAUUUAUUGAAGACUAACUACUGCGAAAGCAUUUGCCAAGGAUGUUUUCAUUAAUCAGGAACGAAAGUUAGGGGAUCGAAGACGAUCAGAUACCGUCGUAGUCUUAACCAUAAACUAUGCCGACUAGGGAUCGGACGGUGUUAUUUUUUGACCCGUUCGGCACCUUACGAGAAAUCAAAGUGCUUGGGCUCCAGGGGGAGUAUGGUCGCAAGGCUGAAACUUAAAGAAAUUGACGGAAGGGCACCACCAGGGGUGGAGCCUGCGGCUUAAUUUGACUCAACACGGGGAAACUCACCAGGUCCAGACACAAUGAGGAUUGACAGAUUGAGAGCUCUUUCUUGAUUUUGUGGGUGGUGGUGCAUGGCCGUUCUUAGUUGGUGGAGUGAUUUGUCUGCUUAAUUGCGAUAACGAACGAGACCU
Molecule: ribosomal RNA, 849 nt
Filed under: uncultured Hypocreales
Lineage: Eukaryota; Fungi; Ascomycota; Sordariomycetes; Hypocreales
Description: SSU rRNA
Rfam family: Eukaryotic small subunit ribosomal RNA
Source: RNAcentral